Molecule: long non-coding RNA, 641 nt
Organism: Bombus pascuorum
Lineage: Eukaryota; Metazoa; Arthropoda; Insecta; Hymenoptera; Apidae
Exons: 2
Source: RefSeq, a predicted model, not a curated record
AUAGGAGAUUAUCACCGAGCCCAGUGUCAGCAAAUUACAUUUCAUUUCCAGGAUACAAUUAGCAGUCAUAUUGCGAUCAAAUAUUCAUGUUGCGUGAAGAGUCGCCGGACGACGAUUGCUUUAACAAUGGUUCUCCGGGUGGAAUGGUUUCACAGGGUGUAACAGCUAAAACAAACAAUGAAAAAUAUUCGUGUAAACAUGCGCUCUAUCUGCCUUCGCUAUGAGAUUUAGCGAAUGUUAAAAUAAGCGGAGCAAACUUAUUAAAAAUGUCGAGACUAGAGCAAGCUUUUCAACGAACACAGGAAACACCAGAAAUCGAUUCCUGCGUCGACAAACGAACAAACGGUUUAUCGUCUUCGGUUCGUUUAUUUGUUAAGCAACGGGUAGAGUAAAGAAGAUUCUUUCAAAUUAACGGAAGGACUACGGUGUGUCGAUUCUGGCGGCCACGAAGUAGGUUCCACGUGUUUUGUUACAUCCUGUACAUGCACUCCGGUUUGUUUGCUCCGAUUAUAUUUGCUGAAUAAUCGUAGCUGCUUUCAAAGUCAAGAUGAUUAUCAUGGAAGAGCAAUUGGAGAGAAAAAAGCAAAAGUGGGAUAAAACGAGGUGUCGGCCGAAUCACACGUACGAAUUAUAUUUAUGUU